GAUCAUGGCUCAGAUUGAACGCUGGCGGCAGGCCUAACACAUGCAAGUCGAACGGUAACAGGAAGCAGCUUGCUGCUUUGCUGACGAGUGGCGGACGGGUGAGUAAUGUCUGGGAAGCUGCCUGAUGGAGGGGGAUAACUACUGGAAACGGUAGCUAAUACCGCAUAACGUCGCAAGACCAAAGAGGGGGGACCUUCGGGCCGUCUUGCCAUCGGAUGUGCCCACGAUGGGAGUUAG
Molecule: ribosomal RNA, 237 nt
Filed under: uncultured bacterium
Lineage: Bacteria
Description: partial 16S ribosomal RNA
Rfam family: Bacterial small subunit ribosomal RNA
Source: RNAcentral